This 612-nucleotide ribosomal RNA is filed under the name Bacillus sp. BC6. Its description in RNAcentral is "bacterial SSU rRNA". It matches the Rfam family "Bacterial small subunit ribosomal RNA", at positions 45 to 637 of the family's 1533-position model. The record is from RNAcentral. Lineage: Bacteria; Bacillati; Bacillota; Bacilli; Caryophanales; Bacillaceae.
UGCCUAAUACAUGCACGUCGAGCGAAUGGAUUGAGAGCUUGCUCUCAAGAAGUUAGCGGCGGACGGGUGAGUAACACGUGGGUAACCUGCCCAUAAGACUGGGAUAACUCCGGGAAACCGGGGCUAAUACCGGAUAACAUUUUGAACUGCAUGGUUCGAAAUUGAAAGGCGGCUUCGGCUGUCACUUAUGGAUGGACCCGCGUCGCAUUAGCUAGUUGGUGAGGUAACGGCUCACCAAGGCAACGAUGCGUAGCCGACCUGAGAGGGUGAUCGGCCACACUGGGACUGAGACACGGCCCAGACUCCUACGGGAGGCAGCAGUAGGGAAUCUUCCGCAAUGGACGAAAGUCUGACGGAGCAACGCCGCGUGAGUGAUGAAGGCUUUCGGGUCGUAAAACUCUGUUGUUAGGGAAGAACAAGUGCUAGUUGAAUAAGCUGGCACCUUGACGGUACCUAACCAGAAAGCCGCGGCUAACUACGGGCCAGCAGCCGCGGUAAUACGUAGGUGGCAAGCGUUAUCCGGAAUUAUUGGGCGUAAAGCGCGCGCAGGUGGUUUCUUAAGUCUGAUGUGAAAGCCCACGGCUCAACCGUGGAGGGUCAUUGGAAACUGGG